Molecule: long non-coding RNA, 1057 nt
Organism: Cavia porcellus (domestic guinea pig)
Lineage: Eukaryota; Metazoa; Chordata; Mammalia; Rodentia; Caviidae
Exons: 4
Source: RefSeq, a predicted model, not a curated record
GGAUAGCAGUUUAAGUAAAAUAUUAACUAUCCUUAGUAACACGUUAAGUGUAAGUGCUUUUUCACAUUAAUUCACUGGAAAUUAAACUAUAUCAUCUGAAUCAGUGUAACUCUGAAACUGCCUUUACUAAUUUUAACUUGUUUUUCUUUUUAUUGGUACCAGGGAUUGAAUUCCCGACUCCGUGCCUGCAAGGCAACCACUUAUGCCACUGAGCUAAAUCCCAGGCCUAAUUUUAACUUAAUAUUACUGUCUUUGGCACUUUGGAAUGUUGAAAUAAGAAAGGAUGCUGUGGAAUUAAGAUUUCUGUUUUCCUUUAGAAGCCCAUCACAAGGAUUAAUAAUCCAGUGGAUAUUAUAAUUCCCAAAAGCAAGAACAAGUUAAAUAACUGUCCUCCAGUUUCCCUAAGAAUAGGACUCCUGGAAUCAAUUUUUACUCUAAACUGGGAAGAGAAGAUCAGCAGAGGGGGAAAAGCUAUAUUCCAGAGCUGGAAGUCUGGCUGAGGAAGCAAAUUACAGGCACAGUGAAGCUUGCCUGGGAAUUCCCAGACUGCUUUCAUCAUUUCUCAAGGGGACUGGAAGAAAACUGGACGCAGGCCACACAAGCCUUUUGAGGAAGCUUUCUGCUUUGCCCUGGACAUUAAAGGAAAAUAAUUUCAUCGGCAAAGGUGUACGGAACAUUUACAUAUACCGGAUUGAGAUCUGACUGGUUUGGACCCUGGACAACAUGCCUGGGACACCAGGAAAGGACCUGGCCUUCAGCAUGCUAUCAGCUUUGCUGGUGUUGGACCUUGUACGGAUUUGCCCCGCUGUCUCUUAAGUUCAAUCCUGCAUUCUACAAGAUUUUUAAAUGAAGUUUUAAUAUACACACUGGAAAGUUUUUUUACCUUGUUGUUGUUUUGUUUUGUUUUUUCCCCUAAGUAGGUAAUACGCCAUUAGGUGAAAGACAAAUGGUGGUGGGAUAAUAUCACAACAUUCAAAAGCAUUAGUAAGAGCAAUGCAGAAAUUCUGAUAGAUUUAAAAACUUGCAACAUUUUAAUCAGAUAUAUUUUGCACGUGAA